CGUCCAGUGGCGGAUGGUCCGCGGUUGCUGCCAAUGAGGAUCAUUGGCGUCCAUUUGUUGCAACAGUUGCUCGUUCGAUCCGAGCCUGGGCGA
Molecule: non-coding RNA, 93 nt
Organism: Mycena polygramma
Lineage: Eukaryota; Fungi; Basidiomycota; Agaricomycetes; Agaricales; Mycenaceae
Source: the annotation of a GenBank genome assembly